This is a long non-coding RNA of Chiroxiphia lanceolata (lance-tailed manakin), 1918 nucleotides long. RefSeq lists it as uncharacterized. The transcript has 4 exons. The record is from RefSeq and is a predicted model, not a curated record. Lineage: Eukaryota; Metazoa; Chordata; Aves; Passeriformes; Pipridae.
CAAUGAUAAUGAUAUAUUUUCAUGUAGUACUAUGGUGUAUAAGUUGGGAUGAAGGGAGUGUAGAUUGUUUUCUCUUGCAGGCUGAUUGCAAACCUUCUCAAUAUUUACCAGUCAUUGUACUGGCAGCCAGUUUAAUCGCAUAUUCAUGGUAAGGGAAAGCAUAUUGGGCUUCAAAGAUACUUACAAAUUGCCUUUUUGUGAAUGUCAAGUUAUUUUGCCUCAGAAUUAAAAAAAAAAGUCUUAACCCUAUGAGAUCGAGCUGGACACCCAACUUUCCAAACUCCAGGAAUGCUAAUAUUAAAAUUUGAAAUUAAAUGAAAACCAAAUCUUUAAACCUUAUGAAAUCAUCAAGUUUCAUCUUGAAAGCUAUCUCAAAUGUCUAAAGUUCAAAACUUGUAGAUUGUACUGGUGUGACUGAAAAACUUUUUUUUUGCAGCAGCAGAUUUUUGCUUCAAUGUUCAAACUCUGGAGCAGAGGAACAUAAGGCAUAGUACCAGAUUUGGGCAUUUUAUAUAUCCUCUAGUGAAAAUUGCUUAUAUAACUUGAACACGCAGUUCAUGCCUUGCAGUAUCAUCCUGACUCUGAGGAUUCACCAUGGCUGCUGGCUCCCAAAACCAGGCUGUUCCAUAUUGGCUGUUUAAAUGUCUAAAGUAUAUUUAUUAAAAAAACCCAAACAAACAAACUACAUGGGCAGGUGGUUGCUUACCUGGAAAUAACUCUGUGUUUACAGAGUUAUUAUUUACAGGUUUGAGGGACCUUAUAAUUUACUACAAUUUAUUUCUUUCAUGAGCUGGUAGGUACAAAAAAGGCUUCUUCUUCUUUUUCCAGCUGCAAUAUAAUGAAGUGGCACACAUCAAAAUCUGCAUUUCCACUGCAUACAAGGAGCAAGCUUUGCUGUACACAGGGUUCAGCUGUCAUGGAAGAAAGACAGGAUUGAAGUGACCACACACCAUUUUUUUAUUCUCUCCCUCAGUCUCUGCCAGAUCUGGUGCAUUCUCUUUAUAAGAAACUGCUAUUACAGUAGGGUGUCACUUCAAUCCCUGUUCACAGGUGUUACUUCACAGUUUUUGGUUGUUUUUUUUCACCAUGAGAUAAUUAAAACAUAAGAACAGAUAAUUUUGGGAUGGUUAAGUAAAGCCUUUGAGCUCUUUGUACUUCUGUACAAAUUUCCAGGUAAAUUUUUCAGUGCAGAAAUCUGUUCUUGCCCAGGGGUCAUACUCCAGUUCCUGCAGUCUCUGGGUCAGAGUGCUUUUUCUGACUUCAUCCCACCAAGGAAAGCAUGAGUUGUCUCAGUAGUGUUCAUGCCUGCCAUGAAUCUCUUAUUCCAAGGUCCCAUGUUUCUACACUUAGGGCUGUGAGCUCUGAAUAUAUUGCAAUGAAGGACCUGAAGCUGCCUAGGAUCACAAAGUCAUGCCUUGCAAGCUUUGAAAUGCCUCCCAAAGGGUACUACAAGGAUCCUUGUAAGUACUGUCCUACUACUGUCCCUCUUUGAGCAGGAUGGAGUCAUCUCUGGUUUUAUUACUCUCCUUUUGAGGAAAUAGGUACAGUCAUUGUGUGGAAAGACUGGAAGCUGGGAUCUUAUGAUCUAAAAGGACAAUCUGCAUGAAAUUCUUGAAAGUUUUUCCCAAAGAACUCCUCGAGGCCAGCGUGUAAUUUUGGAAAGAUUCAGUCCCUUCUGUCACGGUGUGACUCAGGCUUCAAGAUGCUUUGCAGCAGCAAUGGCCCGACUAGCCAAAUGAGUAAAUGGGAGUUUUUCUUCGAACAGUGGAGCUCACCUGAUAAUUUUGAAGCAUUUGGACAGUUUUGUUGCAAGUUGCUAUUUUCAAGCUCAGUAGGAGGAUAUAAAAUACAUGACUGAUACAUAACUCUUAGCGUGAGGCACCAGAAACAAGUCAAGAAGGCAAAAUGGAGAGCUAAC